GGAGUGUUGGAAUCUUUGGGAUUCAGUUGAGAGAGAAACUGUCACUCUGGAGCUGAAGAGGAAAGGAGAGAAGUGUGGCUGAAUCUGUCAGAAGAUCAAUUCCCAAGACACUAGCCUGUGAAGAUCCUUUAGCUGUGGUGAGGAUUUACUCUUCAAUCAUCUGCUGGUCAGGGCUGGAGGAGCUGUCUUCAACUUGGAGGAGUUAUCAACUGUGGACAUUCCACCUUGGAUUCCUGUUUUGGCUCCCAGAGCCUCUAUUAAUCUGGUGUCUAUCUCUAUGACAAUUCUCUCCAGGGAGCAGCCCAGGAGGCAAAGGUGACCUGCUAUAAAAAGGUAUCUAUUAAUACAUCAGAAACUAGAUAAAACAUACUUUCAAAAAUGAACCAAGGCAAGAGAAUAAUUAUAAUCCACAUUCGGUUAGCACUUUAAAGUUUGUAAGUGCCUUUCUCACAGAAAGUCAUUCAGCUAAAUAAGCACACUGUGCCCAGGCUGAGAAUUCAAAGACAGUCUCUCCUCUCAAGAGGCUUAUAGACUAAUGGGGGAGACAAAAAAGCAAACAAUGAUGUAGAAACAAGUCACAUACAGGAUAAAUAGGAAAUAAUCCACAGAGAAAAGGCUCUGGAAUUAAGAGGGAUAAGAAAAGGCUUCCUGUAGAAGAUGAGAUUUUAGCUGGGACUUGAAUGAAUUCAGGAAAACCAAGAGGUGGAAAUGAAAAGGGAGAGUAUUCCAGGCAUGGAGGACAGCCAGAAAAAAUAACCUGGAAUCAAUGGUUGAAGAUAUAAACCAAUUAAGAAAAAAAACCAUUUGCAGCAAGUCUAUCUGUUAAAAUCUGGCAUUCAAAAUAUUUAAGAUGUUAAGGAGAUAACAUGGCAAAAUGCAAAAUGCUCUGAUUCAAGAGUCCAAAGACCUGGGUUCAUAUUUUAGCUCAUGCUUAUUUAUGUGAAUUUCUCAUCUGUGUUCUACUUUUUCUGCCAUUAAACUGUAAGUUCCCAGAGGGCAAGCAUUAAAAUCAUUUUUUCAUCUUUAAAAUU
RNAcentral lists this long non-coding RNA (1031 nucleotides) under Monodelphis domestica (gray short-tailed opossum). RNAcentral's name for it is "lncRNA (ENSMODG00000034239.2)". The record is from RNAcentral. Lineage: Eukaryota; Metazoa; Chordata; Mammalia; Didelphimorphia; Didelphidae.